This is a long non-coding RNA of Gorilla gorilla gorilla (western lowland gorilla), 2479 nucleotides long. RefSeq lists it as uncharacterized. Lineage: Eukaryota; Metazoa; Chordata; Mammalia; Primates; Hominidae. The transcript has 3 exons. The record is from RefSeq and is a predicted model, not a curated record.
CGCUGUCACCCAGGCCAGAGUGAAAUGGUGUGAUCUCAGCUCACUGCAGCCUCGACCUCCCCAGCUCAAACGAUCCUUCCACCUCAGCAUCCCAAGUAGCUGGGACUACAGGAGUAGAAAAUGUCUGCAAUGUGAAUACUAUAAUCCACUUGCUUCAUGAGCAUUGGCCUGUACCACAAAGUCAAGGUUUCCCAAAUUGCUUCACUCCACAAACGUUUUCCAAGCCAUUUGUGAAUGGCCUUAAUUAAGAAGACUGGAAAUGUGUCUCCUGGAAAGAUCAAGGUAAAUCUCCUUCACAGGCCCCACCCCUAUGCUGUUCUGGGGUCCGAACCUUAGGGGCUAUUGAAAUGCCUGUCCCCAGUAUCGUAAGUGCUGUUUGCCGUUUUGUGUUGCUCUGUAAUUGUUUCAGAUAUUCAAACUCCGCUAGGUUUUGAAUCUUUACAAGCACGGGAAAUUCUCUUCUACUUUAAACAAAAUAUAAGAGGUCAUACCCCGAUCGGGGGCCAGCAAACCUGCCCACAGACCAAAUCCUGCCAGGGCCUGUUUUUGUUCGUGAAGGUUUAUUGGAGCCCAGACAAUUUGUUGAUAUAGUGUCUGUGGCUGCUUCCACACCACAGCAGCGGAGUUCGUGGCUGCCAUAGACUAUGGUCCACAAAGCCAAAAAUAUUUACUAUCAGGCCCUUCACAGAAACAUUUUUUGACCCCUUCCCUGGAACCAUAUGUAGAAUUUUAAAUUAAUUAAGCUGAUUAAACCAAUGUACAAUGUACUUGACCUAGGGGUAAAAAAGUUCUUUUGGGAAUAGAGGAAAUGGUCUGGAAAGAUGUACCACAAACUGUUGACAAAAACUUCUAAGUGGGAAUUGAGUUGAGAAUUGAAGAGAAACUUUUUACUCUUUUAUACUUCUGGUGUUUAUGAAAUAAUAUGGCAGAUGUUUUUAGAAUUUGUUUUGUUUUCAGGGAUGCUGUCCUCUCUUGGGCUAGGCCCUACUCUCUGCUGCAAUGGGACAACAGUUUUCGGGACAUUGAGAGAGAGUACCAAUCACUAGGGUUUUACUGUCCCUUUGUUUUUUAAAAACCCAGGCUGGGUGCGGUGGCUCACACUUGUAAUCCCAGCACUUUGUGAGGCUGAGGUGGGUGGAUGGCUUGAGGCCAGGAGUUUGAGACCAGCCUGAUCAACAUGGUGAAACCCCGUUGCUAAUAAAAAUACAAAAAAAUUAGCCAGGCAUGGUGGCGUGUACCUGUAAUCCCAGCUACUAGGGAGGCUGAGGCACAAAAAUAGCUUGAACCUGGGAGGCAGAGGUUGCAGUGAGCCAGGAUCACACCACAGCACUCCAGCCUGGGGGACAGAGUAAAACUCCGUCUUAAAAAAACAACACCACACACAAAAAAACAAAAAAACCCAGUGCUCAGCCAUAUUAAGAUAUUAUCUGCAUUGCUUUGAGCCCUCAGCCUAGGGUAGGGCUUCCUUAUUGUCUAAACAAUGCUGGACCCCCAAACUGGCAUGCUUUAAAGGUGGGAGAGGCAGACCAAGGGGGUGUGCUUGCAAGCCACAGCCAAGCUCUGGGGGGCUUGUGGGGAGAUUGCAAAAAAAGAGGGUAGGUGGUCACUGGGGCAGAAAUUGUGAGCAUACCUCCCACUACUUUUAGGACUCUGGGGGAUCCAUUUCUUUCUUCUUUAAUUGAAACAAAGCAAAGAAGCGUGAUCUUUAGGUGAAAAGGAAUUUUGAACUAGAAAAUCUGCAGUCAUUACAUGCCCCCUCCUUUAUUUUUACAUGCAAAUCAUCUUUGGGGAAAGGAUCUCAGGGAUCUUGUUGGAACUUGCUUGAAAACAAUAGGCUGAGUCUAUUAGCACCCUGUUCUUCACAAGAAAAGAAAAAGAAUCAUUUUGAAGUAGUGUCAGAAGAUGUUAAGAUUUUAUGAGGGCUUCACAUAACACUCGUCUGUAUCACUUUCCAAUGGAAAAAAAUCAGGAGAUUUAUUCUCAUAGAUGUUGCUGACACGUUAGCAUCUUAGAAAAUCAUUUUGCAACAACCCAUCUAAACUCCUCACUCAGUACAAUGUGGAAACUAACUUGGCCUUUUCUUUUCCUCUCCCUGUAGCCACACCAUGCCUCUUGACAUUUCCUGCACCUGGUAUGUGUUUAUGCCGGGCCUUUGUGGAACAUUCCUACCUGGAACAUUCUCCAUCCUCUGCUUCCUCUCAGGCCUUGUUCACCUAGAAACUCCAACUCACCUUUCAUGGCCUAGUACACUUGUCCCUUCUUCUGUGAUGUUCUCCAUGAUUUCUCCCCCAUUCUUGCCCACAGCUUCCCUGCAGUUGCCCCCAGCAUUUGGAUAGGCUCUAUCAUAGAAUUUCUCAAAUCAUGUGCCCAUUGUACUUACAUUACCUCCUUGAGGGUGGGCACUGUGGCUUGUCUGACCCCUGUAUUCCCUGUAGUUUGGGCAGUGAUUUGCAGAAACAGGCAUUUAAUAAACACUCGA